GUCCAGACUCCUACGGGAGGCAGCAGUGGGGAAUAUUGCACAAUGGGGGAAACCCUGAUGCAGCGACGCCGCGUGAGCGAUGAAGUAUUUCGGUAUGUAAAGCUCUAUCAGCAGGGAAGAAAAUGACGGUACCUGACUAAGAAGCCCCGGCUAACUACGUGCCAGCAGCCGCGGUAAUACGUAGGGGGCAAGCGUUAUCCGGAUUUACUGGGUGUAAAGGGAGCGUAGACGGUCCUGCAAGCCAGAUGUGAAAGCCCGGGGCUCAACCCCGGGACUGCAUUUGGAACUGUCAGUCUUGAGUACAGGAGAGGUAAGUGGAAUUCCUAGUGUAGCGGUGAAAUGCGUAGAUAUUAGGAGGAACACCAGUGGCGAAGGCGGCCUGCUGGGCUUUAACUGACGCUGAGGCUCGAAAGUGUGGGUAGCAAACAGGAUUAGAUACCCCAGUA
RNAcentral lists this ribosomal RNA (446 nucleotides) under uncultured bacterium. RNAcentral's name for it is "bacterial SSU rRNA". It matches the Rfam family "Bacterial small subunit ribosomal RNA", at positions 329 to 792 of the family's 1533-position model. The record is from RNAcentral.